RNAcentral lists this ribosomal RNA (666 nucleotides) under Fomitopsis meliae. RNAcentral's name for it is "eukaryotic LSU rRNA". The stretch from base 242 to 395 matches the Rfam family "5.8S ribosomal RNA". The record is from RNAcentral. Lineage: Eukaryota; Fungi; Basidiomycota; Agaricomycetes; Polyporales; Fomitopsidaceae.
UCCGUAGGUGAACCUGCGGAAGGAUCAUUAAUGAAUUCUGAAAGGGGUUGUUGCUGGCCGUCAGCGGCAUGUGCACGCCCUGAUCAUUAUCCACUUCACACACCUGUGCACACACUGUAGGUCGGUUUGUGGCUGGAGUGGGCACUCUGUGUGUCUGCUUUGGUUGUAGGCCUUCCUAUGUUUUAUUACAAACUACUUCAGUUUAAAGAAUGUCACUCUUGCGUCUAACGCAUUUAAAUACAACUUUCAGCAACGGAUCUCUUGGCUCUCGCAUCGAUGAAGAACGCAGCGAAAUGCGAUAAGUAAUGUGAAUUGCAGAAUUCAGUGAAUCAUCGAAUCUUUGAACGCACCUUGCGCUCCUUGGUAUUCCGAGGAGCAUGCCUGUUUGAGUGUCAUGGAAUUCUCAACUCUAUUUGCUUUUGUGAAUAGAGCUUGGACUUGGAGGUUUAUUGCCGGUAUGUCUGUGAUCGGCUCCUCUUGAAUGCAUUAGCUCGAACCUUUGUGGAUCAGCUAUCGCUGUGAUAAUUGUCUACGCCGUUGCUGUGAAGCAUGUUAAUGGGGAUCGGCUUCUAAUCGUCCUUUUACUCGAGGACAAUCACUUUGACCUUUUGACCUCAAAUCAGGUAGGGUUACCCGCUGAACUUAAGCAUAUCAAUAAGCGGAGGA